AACUGGCUGGCUCAGUCGGCAGAGCACGAGACUCUUGAUCUCAGGGUUGUGAGUUCAAGUCCCAUGCUGGGUG
This 73-nucleotide transfer RNA is filed under the name Felis catus (domestic cat). It matches the Rfam family "tRNA". Rfam says of the family: Transfer RNA (tRNA) molecules are approximately 80 nucleotides in length. Their secondary structure includes four short double-helical elements and three loops (D, anti-codon, and T loops). Further hydrogen bonds mediate the characteristic L-shaped molecular structure. tRNAs have two regions of fundamental functional importance: the anti-codon, which is responsible for specific mRNA codon recognition, and the 3' end, to which the tRNAs corresponding amino acid is attached (by aminoacyl-tRNA synthetases). tRNAs cope with the degeneracy of the genetic code in two manners: having more than one tRNA (with a specific anti-codon) for a particular amino acid; and 'wobble' base-pairing, i.e. permitting non-standard base-pairing at the 3rd anti-codon position. Lineage: Eukaryota; Metazoa; Chordata; Mammalia; Carnivora; Felidae. RNAcentral also lists the same sequence under 1 other name. The record is from Rfam by way of RNAcentral.